RNAcentral lists this long non-coding RNA (1303 nucleotides) under Serinus canaria (Common canary). RNAcentral's name for it is "lncRNA (ENSSCAG00000011666.1)". Lineage: Eukaryota; Metazoa; Chordata; Aves; Passeriformes; Fringillidae. The record is from RNAcentral.
UCUAAAGCACCAUGAGUCACAGCUGGAUAUUUUUAAUUUCUCCUUACUUCAGUUUUAAUUGUCCUGUUUUGUUUCCUGGCAGGGUUUGUGGGGUGGUGGUUGUUGACUUGAGGUGGAUCAUUCACCUGAAAUAUUCUUUCCUUUGUUUUUUUUAAACCCAAACCAAACAUUUGUAUUUUUUUUAUACAACUCCUGAUGUGCCUGCUGGGUGUGUGGAGCCUUUUUUGGGUAGGAGCAAGAGGCCCAGCCUGUGCUGGGUGAGGUGACAGGCCUGAGCUGCCUCAUUUACAAUCAACUUUCCCUGAUUAAUUAGCUCUCAGAGCUGUUUGGAUAACCUGGCCCAAUUGCAGCUGCAAUUACAAGCCCUGACUCAUUUGCUUCCCCUCAGGAUUUUGAAUCCAGACAGCUCUGCCGAAAGCAGCGUGCAAUUAAAACACACCAAAAACAAUCUAAAAAAUACAAUUAACCGUGCCAAGCGUUGCCUGGGAGUUUUGACAUCAUUUUCUCCUCUUUCCAGGAAAGUCUGUGAGAUCAAGAAGCACCUGAAGAGGCUCAGCAACCGCAUCAGUGCCUGCAGUGUGGAGAUGAUGGAGUGCCAGGACUGCCUGCAGGGCGCUCUGGACAGGCUUCUCCAGGUGGAGCAGUGGAAUUUGGCCCCUCCUGUGCCUUCCCCUGUGCCCCUGAGCCAGGCCUGCCAGGAGAUGGCUCUGAGGUGAGUCCUGGUUGGGGUGGUCCCUUUGUGUGAGGGGAAACUGAGAGUUAAAACCUUUUAUUCCAUUUUCAGUCUCUGAGAAGGGUGAGAGCACAGGUGUUGUAAUUCACACCAGCACAAUCAGAAGCUGUUUCCUGAUUACAGAACACUCCAAGCAUUUCUUAGCUUAUUCACUUUUUGUCACCCCAUGCUGCAAAUGCCUUCAAACCAACCAUCCCAAACUGCCCCUCAUGGUCCCACUGUAACACAUCUUCCACAGUUCUGUUUCCCCAAAGUGUUCAGUCUGAUUUGCCAGGCCAGCUUUUGAAACUUUUCUAGCUCCAUUUCUCUCUCAACAACAUCUCCUUAUUCCACAACCCUGCUGAAUCAGUAUUUAUUAUCUCAAAGUUUGCACACAGUGUGGGCCUUGGGUCCGACCCUAAGAGCUCCCACAAAUCCAUUUCCCACUCUUGGGAACAGGGUCUGGGGACAGCCCAGCUCCUCAGGGGGGGACAGAACCUCCUGCUGCUCAUCCUGGGAGUGGGGUGAGGGUUCUGUGUCUGCAGGGCUGGAAAGGGGGGACCCAGAGGGGGGACCCUGCUGUGUGUGACC